RNAcentral lists this ribosomal RNA (253 nucleotides) under uncultured bacterium. RNAcentral describes it as "partial 16S ribosomal RNA". It matches the Rfam family "Bacterial small subunit ribosomal RNA", at positions 524 to 776 of the family's 1533-position model. The record is from RNAcentral.
UACGUAGGGAGCAAGCGUUGUCCGGAAUUAUUGGGCGUAAAGAGCUCGUAGGCGGCCUGUUGCGUCCGCUGUGAAAGCCCGGGGCUUAACCCCGGGUCUGCAGUGGAUACGGGCAGGCUAGAGGUAGGUAGGGGAGAAUGGAAUUCCCGGUGUAGCGGUGAAAUGCGCAGAUAUCGGGAGGAACACCGGUGGCGAAGGCGGUUCUCUGGGCCUUACCUGACGCUGAGGAGCGAAAGCGUGGGGAGCGAACAGG